RNAcentral lists this ribosomal RNA (649 nucleotides) under Chrysaora quinquecirrha. Its description in RNAcentral is "partial 16S ribosomal RNA". It matches the Rfam family "Bacterial large subunit ribosomal RNA", at positions 1796 to 2619 of the family's 2925-position model. Lineage: Eukaryota; Metazoa; Cnidaria; Scyphozoa; Semaeostomeae; Pelagiidae. The record is from RNAcentral.
UCGACUGUUUACCAAAAACAUAGCCCCUUAACACCAAUAGGGGGUGCAACCUGCUCAAUGGCUGAAAUAAUAAUAAUAAAUACAGUUAAAUAGCCGCGGUAACUCUGACCGUGAUAAAGUAGCAUAAUCACUUGUCACCUAAUUAGUGAAUGGUAUGAAUGGUUAAACGAACCCUAAGCUGUCUCAAUAAGAAACCUUAUAAAAUUGAAAUUGUAGUGAAGAUGCUACAUAAAGAUUGCAAGACGAAAAGACCCUAUUGAGCUUUACUGAAUACUUACAACUUCUACAAAUAGUAAAUAUUACAAACAAUAUACUUUGUAAGUAAGACAGUUUGGUUGGGGCGACCACCUCUAAAAAAGUAACAGAGGAAAUCUAAAGGCUAAUAAUAUGAAUACUAGCUUAACUGAAAUAACAAUAAUUUAUACAGGUACAAAAAGUAGGACAUAAUGACCCGUUAUAAUUUAAUGAAAAUUAUAACGAUUAUAGAAAAAGUUACCAUAGGGAUAACAGGGUAAUAUUUUCUAAGAGUUCUAAUCGACGAAAAUGUUUGCCACCUCGAUGUUGAAUUGUGAUAUCCUAGGGGUGCAGCAGCUCCUAAAGGUUGGUCUGUUCGACCAUUAAAAUCUUACAUGAUUUGAGUUCAUUCCGU